CAUAACUCAAAAUCCAGGUCUAGUUUUUCCUUAAUCCUGGAGGUACUGGGGCGUCCUGCACCUUACUUUGCCCUGUCCAUAGGUUCCCUCUUUUCUUGAUCAUAGACAAAAUUACCCCUGAGAACAACAACAGCCUCAUCCAUGAGAUGUAGUUUAGUUUUCCUGGUGUGGAAAAGAAAACUGCAACAUCCAACAGUACACUUUCUGUUGCACGACUUGUUCAGUCAGGAAAUACAGUGCAUUUGGAGCGUCAGAAUGAUUUAGCAGAGCAGGGGGCUUUUGUCUGGUCCUCUUUAGAGUCCCACUGCCAGAACAUGGGGGAAGUUAAGACUUAUAAUCACCCAUAGCUUUCAAACAGAACACACAUAGCAUCUCCACCACCACCAAAUGACCACCUUCAUCAUCUUCAUCUGCAACCCCAUCACUACCGCCAUGACCAUCACCACCAUACCACUACCACCACCAUCACCACCACCAUCACUGUGACCAUCACCUCCACCUCCACCUUCAUUACCACCAUCACCACCACCACCACCUCCAUCUCCACCUGCAACCCCAGCACUACCACCAUGACCACCACCACCAUCACUGCCAUCACCAUCAUUACCAUCACCUCCACCUCUACCUUCAACAUCACCAUCACAAUGACCACCACCAUCACCACCAGAAACACUGAAUAAAAUAAUGAAAGUGCAGCCUUAGGCUGGGCACGGUGGCUCACACCUGUAAUCCCAGCACUUUGGGAGGCUGAGGCGGGCAGAUCACUUGAGGUCAGGAGUUCGAGACCAGCCUGGCCAACAUGGUGAAACCCCGUCUCUACUAAUGUGAAAUACUAAAUGUAAAAAUACAAAAAUUAGCUGGGUGUGGUGGUGGGCACUUGUAAUCCCAGCUACUUGGGAGGCUGAAGCAGGAGAAUCACUUGAACCCCGGGAGAUGGAGGUUGCAGUGAGCAGAGAUUGUGCCAUUGCACUCCAGCCUGGGCGACAGAGUGAGACUCCAUCUCAAAAUAAAUAAAUAAAUAAAAAUUAAAAAAAAAUAAAAAAGAA
This 1046-nucleotide long non-coding RNA is filed under the name Homo sapiens (human). Its description in RNAcentral is "non-protein coding lnc-CDRT4-3:1". Lineage: Eukaryota; Metazoa; Chordata; Mammalia; Primates; Hominidae. The record is from RNAcentral.